Molecule: long non-coding RNA, 297 nt
Filed under: Elaeis guineensis (African oil palm)
Lineage: Eukaryota; Viridiplantae; Streptophyta; Magnoliopsida; Arecales; Arecaceae
Description: long non-coding RNA (EGUI_LNC000531)
Source: RNAcentral
AAAGCCUGUUCGGUCAUAAGCUCUCUCUGCGGUGGGACUGCAAUAUCCUUCAGCCGAUGGAAGUCCUCUCGAUCAUCGAUCUCCACCCGACUGUUAUUGUUGGGAUCGAUUUUUGGAUCACCCCAGCGAGAAGGAAAGCUCCAAGGAAGAGAGGAAGAAAUAAAGAAAAACUGGUUCUUCCACCCAUGGAUGGAUGAUGGAAGAUCGAUAAUGAAAGAAAGAUCUUUUUGGGGGGUGAAGAACCACCAACCUCUAACCUUGGGAUGAGGUCAGAGGACAAAAGAAGCAUGAAAAAGG